UACAAACCAUUUGGCCUGUUCACGGGACGAAAACAUAACCUCAGAAGCCGUGGAUUUUACCACCAAAACAUGGAUGUUUUGAACACACAAAUUAUUCCAUGGCUUUUCUACACUAAGUGCCACUGCAUAGUGCUAUUUCAGUUUUAUCAACAACUACAUUUCUGCAAAUAUUGAAUAGUCUGAAAACUAUAUAAGGCAAGCACAUUUAAGGGAAGUGAUUUUCAAGACGAUGCAAGUAGAUCCAGACAAACAGCUGUAGUACGGGACAUUUUACUACUUAAAAGAUCUGAAUCCUCCAACCUUAUUCAAUUUUAAGCCAAAGUGCAAGACAAUAAUCAGCCUGUAAGUUAUGUCUAAUAAAAAAAGAUGAAAUAAUA
Frankliniella occidentalis (western flower thrips) is the source of this 377-nucleotide long non-coding RNA. RefSeq lists it as uncharacterized. The transcript has 5 exons. The record is from RefSeq and is a predicted model, not a curated record. NCBI's taxonomy places the organism in Eukaryota, Metazoa, Arthropoda, Insecta, Thysanoptera, Thripidae.